UUACAGAAGGUUGACCUCGGAUCAGGUAGGACUACCCGCUGAACUUAAGCAUAUCAAUAAGCGGAGGAAAAGAAACAACAGGGAUUGCCCUAGUAACGGCGAGUGAAGCGGCAACAGCUCGAAUUUGAAAUCUGGCCUCGGCCCGAGUUGUAAUCUGUAGAGGACGCUUUUGGCGCGGUGCCUUCCGAGUUCCCUGGAACGGGACGCCACAGAGGGUGAGAGCCCCGUAAGGUCGGACACCAAGCCUGUGUAAAGCCCCUUCGACGAGUCGAGUAGCUUGGGAAUGCUGCUCUAAGCGGGAGGUAUACUUCUUCUAAAGCUAAAUAUUGGCCAGAGACCGAUAGCGCACAAGUAGAGUGAUCGAAAGAUGAAAAGCACUUUGAAAAGAGGGUCAAAUAGUACGUGAAAUUGUUGAAAGGGAAGCGCUUGUGAUCAGACUCGCGCCGGGCGGAUCAUCCAGUGGUCUCCACUGGUGCACUCCGGCCGGCGCGGGCCAGCGUCGGCUGUUGCGGGGGGACAAAAGCUCUGGGAACGUGGCUCUCUCCGGGGAGUGUUAUAGCCCUCUGCAGAAUACCCCCGCGGCGGCCGAGGUCCGCGCAUUGCAAGGACGCUGGCGUAAUGGUCAUCAGCGACCCGUCUUGAAACACGGACCAAGGAGUCGAGGUUUUGCGCGAGUGUUCGGGUGCAAAGCCCCAGCGCGUAAUUAACGUGAACGUAGGUGAGAGCUUCGGCGCAUCAUCGACCGAUCCUGAUGUAUUCGGAUGGAUUUGAGUAGGAGCGUAAAGCCUCGGACCCGAAAGAUGGUGAACUAUGCCUGUAUAGGGUGAAGCCAGAGGAAACUCUGGUGGAGGCUCGCAGCGGUUCUGACGUGCAAAUCGAUCGUCAAAUAUGGGCAUGGGGGCGAAAGACUAAUCGAACCAUCUAGUAGCUG
This 931-nucleotide ribosomal RNA is filed under the name Phialemonium atrogriseum. RNAcentral's name for it is "eukaryotic LSU rRNA". It matches the Rfam family "Eukaryotic large subunit ribosomal RNA", at positions 1 to 953 of the family's 3401-position model. Lineage: Eukaryota; Fungi; Ascomycota; Sordariomycetes; Cephalothecales; Cephalothecaceae. The record is from RNAcentral.